Chionomys nivalis (European snow vole) is the source of this 104-nucleotide small nuclear RNA. NCBI's taxonomy places the organism in Eukaryota, Metazoa, Chordata, Mammalia, Rodentia, Cricetidae. The record is from RefSeq and is a predicted model, not a curated record.
GUGCUCACUUCAACAGCACAUAUGCUAGAACUGGAGCGAUACAGAGAUUAGCGUGGUCUCUGUGCAAGGACGGCAGAGGAAUUCCUGAAGUGUUACAUAUUUUU